GACGAACGCUGGCGGCGUGCCUAAUACAUGCAAGUUGAGCGAUGAAGAUUGGUGCUUGCACCAAUUUGAAGAGCAGCGAACGGGUGAGUAACGCGUGGGGAAUCUGCCUUUGAGCGGGGGACAACAUUUGGAAACGAAUGCUAAUACCGCAUAACAACUUUAAACAUAAGUUUUAAGUUUGAAAGAUGCAAUUGCAUCACUCAAAGAUGAUCCCGCGUUGUAUUAGCUAGUUGGUGAGGUAAAGGCUCACCAAGGCGAUGAUACAUAGCCGACCUGAGAGGGGGAUCGGCCACAUUGGGACUGAGACACGGCCCAAACUCCUACGGGAGGCAGCAGUAGGGAAUCUUCGGCAAUGGACGAAAGUCUGGCCGAGCAACGCCGCGUGAGUGAAGAAGGUUUUCGGAUCGUAAAACUCUGUUGGUAGAGAAGAAAGUUGGUGAGAGUGGAAAGCUCAUCAAGUGACGGUAACUACCCAGAAAGGGACGGCUAACUACGUG
This 497-nucleotide ribosomal RNA is filed under the name uncultured bacterium. RNAcentral describes it as "partial 16S ribosomal RNA". It matches the Rfam family "Bacterial small subunit ribosomal RNA", at positions 28 to 507 of the family's 1533-position model. The record is from RNAcentral.